This is a long non-coding RNA of Papaver somniferum (opium poppy), 557 nucleotides long. RefSeq lists it as uncharacterized. The transcript is spliced from 4 exons. The record is from RefSeq and is a predicted model, not a curated record. Lineage: Eukaryota; Viridiplantae; Streptophyta; Magnoliopsida; Ranunculales; Papaveraceae.
CCAAACCCAGACUAAGACCAAGAAGGCUAUCCCUAGAUCUGAUGCAGGAGAAGAUGCAUCUUUUGAGAUUUCUGCUGUUUGCGGCCUAAAUACCACUAAACCAUUCUCGGCCAUCGCAAAGAAAUUAACUGGGCGUCCUCUCAGGUUCUAGGUAGUAACAUCAGAUGGCUUGAAUCGUUAGAAAUUAGCUUCAAGGUAUGAGAUAUGCUCGCAAGCCUAUAACAAUUUUUCAACAUUUGAAUGGUCUGAAUUGCUUACUGGAAGUUCAGAAACUCUUCAAUUGUCAUCGAAUAGGUACUUUUGCCUGUUCAUAAUUCUUCAUCUUAUAGGACAACCAAUAAAAGGAGGUCCUUCAUCUUACCAGAAUUUACACAAGUUAAAAAGGACAAGAGAGAGAAGUAGACAUUUGGAUAGUAUUGUGUUUAAAUGCUAGAGAUGAUCGACUCAGUUCAUGCUUUUUUCUUCUUUUUUUGGAUGCAGCAUAGAAUUUUUGUUACAUGUCUAGGAGAAAUAACAUUGUUACAUUGAAGAGCUGAGACUAAAACCCUCUGACCAUU